AGGCGGUUUUUUAAAGUUCUGAAGGUGAAAAGCCCCCCGGCUUAACCGGGGAGGGUCAUUUGGAAAACUGGGGAAACUUUGAGUGCAGAAAGAAGGAGAGUGGAAUUUCCACGUGUAGCGGUGAAAUUGCGUAGAGAUGUGGAGGAACACCAGUGGCGAAGGCGACUCUCUGGUCUGUAACUGACGCUGAGGAGCGAAAGCGUGGGGAGCGAACAGGAUUAGAUACCCUGGUAGUCCACGCCGUAAACGAUGAGUGCUAAGUGUUAGGGGGUUUCCGCCCCUUAGUGCUGCAGCUAACGCAUUAAGCACUCCGCCUGGGGAGUACGGUCGCAAGACUGAAACUCAAAGGAAUUGACGGGGGCCCGCACAAGCGGUGGAGCAUGUGGUUUAAUUCGAAGCAACGCGAAGAACCUUACCAGGUCUUGACAUCCUCUGACAAUCCUAGAGAUAGGACGUCCCCUUCGGGGGCAGAGUGACAGGUGGUGCAUGGUUGUCGUCAGCUCGUGUCGUGAGAUGUUGGGUUAAGUCCCGCAACGAGCGCAACCCUUGAUCUUAGUUGCCAGCAUUCAGUUGGGCACUCUAAGGUGACUGCCGGUGACAAACCGGAGGAAGGUGGGGAUGACGUCAAAUCAUCAUGCCCCUUAUGACCUGGGCUACACACGUGCUACAAUGGACAGAACAAAGGGCAGCGAAACCGCGAGGUUAAGCCAAUCCCACAAAUCUGUUCUCAGUUCGGAUCGCAGUCUGCAACUCGACUGCGUGAAGCUGGAAUCGCUAGUAAUCGCGGAUC
RNAcentral lists this ribosomal RNA (790 nucleotides) under Bacillus subtilis. RNAcentral describes it as "bacterial SSU rRNA". It matches the Rfam family "Bacterial small subunit ribosomal RNA", at positions 573 to 1350 of the family's 1533-position model. The record is from RNAcentral. Lineage: Bacteria; Bacillati; Bacillota; Bacilli; Caryophanales; Bacillaceae.